UACGUAGGGCGCAAGCGUUAUCCGGAAUUAUUGGGCGUAAAGAGCUCGUAGGCGGUUUGUCGCGUCUGCCGUGAAAGUCCGGGGCUCAACACCGGAUCUGCGGUGGGUACGGGCAGACUAGAGUGAUGUAGGGGAGACUGGAAUUCCUGGUGUAGCGGUGAAAUGCGCAGAUAUCAGGAGGAACACCGAUGGCGAAGGCAGGUCUCUGGGCAUUAACUGACGCUGAGGAGCGAAAGCAUGGGGAGCGAACAGG
Molecule: ribosomal RNA, 253 nt
Filed under: uncultured bacterium
Lineage: Bacteria
Description: partial 16S ribosomal RNA
Rfam family: Bacterial small subunit ribosomal RNA
Source: RNAcentral